UACGUAGGGGGCAAGCGUUGUCCGGAUUUAUUGGGCGUAAAGCGCUCGCAGGCGGCCCGAUGCGUCGUGCGUGAAACACCCCGGCUCAACUGGGGAGGGUCGUGCGAUACGGUCGGCUUGAGGCCAGUAGGGGGGAUGCGGAAUUCCGGGUGUAGUGGUGGAAUGCGUAGAGAUCCGGAGGAACACCAGCGGCGAAGGCGGCAUCCUGGACUGGUACUGACGCUCAUGAGCGAAAGCGUGGGGAGCGAGUCCGG
Molecule: ribosomal RNA, 254 nt
Filed under: uncultured bacterium
Lineage: Bacteria
Description: partial 16S ribosomal RNA
Rfam family: Bacterial small subunit ribosomal RNA
Source: RNAcentral